CCUACGGGUGGCAGCAGUGGGGGAUAUUGGACAAUGGGGAAACCCUGAUCCAGCGACGCCGCGUGAGUGAAGAAGUAUUUCGGAUCGUAAAACCCUGUUGUUAGAGAAGAAAGUGCGUGAGAGUAACUGUUCACGUUUCGACGGUAUCUAACCAGAAAGCCACGGCUAAAUACGUGCCAGCAGCCGCGGGAAUACGUAGGUGGCAAGCGUUAUCCGGAUUUAUUGGGCGUAAAGGGAACGCAGGCGGUCUUUUAAGUCUGAUGUGAAAGCCUUCGGCUUAACCGGAGUAGUGCAUUGGAAACUGGGAGACUUGAGGGCAGAAGAGGAGAGUGGAACUCCAUGUGUAGCGGUGAAAUGCGUAGAUAUAUGGAAGAACACCAGUGGCGAAGGCGGCUCUCUGGUCUGUAACUGACGCUGAGGUUCGAAAGCGUGGGUAGCAAACAGGAUUAGAUACCCGUGUAGUC
This 464-nucleotide ribosomal RNA is filed under the name uncultured bacterium. RNAcentral describes it as "partial 16S ribosomal RNA". It matches the Rfam family "Bacterial small subunit ribosomal RNA", at positions 338 to 795 of the family's 1533-position model. The record is from RNAcentral.